Long non-coding RNA from Ipomoea nil (Japanese morning glory), 737 nucleotides. RefSeq lists it as uncharacterized. The record is from RefSeq and is a predicted model, not a curated record. NCBI's taxonomy places the organism in Eukaryota, Viridiplantae, Streptophyta, Magnoliopsida, Solanales, Convolvulaceae. The transcript has 2 exons.
AUCCUACCUAAACUCAUUACCAUUACCAUUUCGAUUCCAAUAUUUAAACCAAACACACCCUAAGUUUUCUCCGAAAACAUUCGGGCUUAAAUUGUCAUAUGGCCUUUUCAAAGGAUUUGACAAAAGAAAUUAGGAGGCCCAUGGAUCUGUUUGGAAGCCAGCUUUCCUUUUGAAAUUUGAAGAGAGAAACCGAGGGAGAUUGGUGGUCGGAGAUGAAUAAGAGAUUCGGCGGAAGGAGUAAGCCGACGGGAACUCCGUCGCUCGCUUGGUCCUGCGUUGUGGUUGUUGCUUCGUUACUCACCGGCGCCUCCGUUGUCCACAACUUCUUCAAACCCGAUUUGACCCUACCACCAGUAGAAAGCAUUGAUGGGGCUAAGCAAGAACAAGAGGAUAAACAAUAAUUGCCUUCUCAAACAUCCUUUGUUUGUCUCAGUUUGAUAGACUUGGAAUUGCUGGAAACUCCAACACUGAACUUACUGGAAAUGAAGUACUUGUUGAAAGCUUUCAGGUUGUUACAUAUUUCUAGGAUACAAUUUUUUUAAAUUCAUUUUAGUGUUUCCGCAUAUCAAUUCAAUGUGAUACUAAGGAAUGUUUCUUUCAAAUCUUUGUUUUCCAUUUCUUUAGUUAUACAUGUAUUUAGUUUUCUAAAUUUAUUUUUAAGAUUUAUAGUUUUCUACAUUUAUUUUAAGACAGGCAGUGACUAGGUUCUUAUCCAUUAGAUGAAUGUGUUGACGCAA